RNAcentral lists this ribosomal RNA (186 nucleotides) under Triticum aestivum (bread wheat). RNAcentral's name for it is "partial small subunit ribosomal RNA". The record is from RNAcentral. Lineage: Eukaryota; Viridiplantae; Streptophyta; Magnoliopsida; Poales; Poaceae.
AUGCCGCUGGCGGGUCGCCGCGUCCUAGUGCGCUGCGUUCUGUCAGCAAUCCCAACCUUCGCGCUCACGGCUCUACGCGCACUGAAGAAGCUCUUCAAGGAAAUCGACAAGUCGAGGAGGCGAUUCCUCUGGGCACAGGACGACGAGAUCUCAGGGGCAAAGUGCAAGGUGGGCUGGAAGACGGUG